RNAcentral lists this ribosomal RNA (212 nucleotides) under Phocaeicola plebeius. RNAcentral's name for it is "partial 23S ribosomal RNA". It matches the Rfam family "Bacterial large subunit ribosomal RNA", at positions 56 to 280 of the family's 2925-position model. Lineage: Bacteria; Pseudomonadati; Bacteroidota; Bacteroidia; Bacteroidales; Bacteroidaceae. The record is from RNAcentral.
ACGUGAUAAGCUGCGAUAAGUCACGGGGAGGUGCAAAUAACCUUUGAUCCGUGAAUCUCCGAAUGGGACAACCCGAUAUCCUGAAGGGAUAUCACCUUACAUGGUAAGGAGCUAACGCAGGGAACUGAAACAUCUUAGUACCUGCAGGAAAAGAAAAUAACAAUGAUUCCCCCAGUAGUGGCGAGCGAACGGGGAAGAGCCCAAACCAUUCA